RNAcentral lists this ribosomal RNA (253 nucleotides) under uncultured bacterium. RNAcentral's name for it is "partial 16S ribosomal RNA". It matches the Rfam family "Bacterial small subunit ribosomal RNA", at positions 524 to 776 of the family's 1533-position model. The record is from RNAcentral.
UACGUAGGGACCGAGCGUUGUCCGGAUUCAUUGGGCGUAAAGAGCGUGUAGGCGGCUAGGUAGGUCCGUUGUGAAAACUCGAGGCUCAACCUCGAGACGCCGGUGGAAACCAUCUAGCUAGAGUCCGGAAGAGGAGAGUGGAAUUCCUGGUGUAGCGGUGAAAUGCGCAGAUAUCAGGAAGAACACCCGUGGCGAAGGCGGCUCUCUGGGACGUGACUGACGCUGAGACGCGAAAGCGUGGGGAGCGAACAGG